AACGACGCUGGCGGCGUGCCUAACACAUGCAAGUCGAGCGAGAAAGUCCCUUCGGGGGCGAGUAAAGCGGCGGACGGGUGAGUAAUACAUGGAUAAUCUUCCCUCGAGCCUGGGAUAACCCUGCGAAAGUGGGGCUAAUACCGGAUAAGACCACAUGACGCAUGUCACGGGGUAGAAGGUGGCUUGUAUUUAUAUGAGCUAUCACUUGAGGAUGAGUCCAUGGCCUAUCAGCUAGUUGGUGAGGUAAGAGCUUACCAAGGCUAUGACGGGUAGCUGGUCUGAGAGGACGACUAGCCACACUGGGACUGAGACACGGCCCAGACUCCUACGGGAGGCAGCAGUGGGGAAUAUUGGGCAAUGGGCGAAAGCCUGACCCAGCGACGCCGCGUGGGUGAUGAAGGCCUUCGGGUUGUAAAACCCUUUCGUGCGGAAAGAAUAGUCUCGUAGCGAAUAACUAUGGGAUUUGACGGUACCGCAGGAAGAAGCACCGGCUAACUCCGUG
This 502-nucleotide ribosomal RNA is filed under the name uncultured bacterium. Its description in RNAcentral is "bacterial SSU rRNA". It matches the Rfam family "Bacterial small subunit ribosomal RNA", at positions 33 to 507 of the family's 1533-position model. The record is from RNAcentral.